GAGCAAGACCAACAGGGAUUGCCUCAGUAACGGCGAGUGAAGCGGCAACAGCUCAAAUUUGAAAUCUGGCUCUUUCAGAGUCCGAGUUGUAAUUUGUAGAAGAUGCUUUGGGUGUGGCUCCGGUCUAAGUUCCUUGGAACAGGACGUCAUAGAGGGUGAGAAUCCCGUAUGUGACUGGCUGCCUUCGCCCGUGUAAAGCUCUUUCGACGAGUCGAGUUGUUUGGGAAUGCAGCUCUAAAUGGGAGGUAUAUUUCUUCUAAAGCUAAAUAUGGGCCAGAGACCGAUAGCGCACAAGUAGAGUGAUCGAAAGAUGAAAAGCACUUUGGAAAGAGAGUUAAACAGUACGUGAAAUUGUUGAAAGGGAAGCGCUUGCAACCAGACUUGCACGCCGUCGAUCAUCCUGGGUUCUCCCUGGUGCACUCGGCGGCGUUCAGGCCAGCAUCGGUUUCGGUGGUUGGAUAAAGGCCUUGGGAAUGUAGCUCCUCUCGGGGAGUGUUAUAGCCCUCGGUGCAAUGCAGCCUACCGGGACCGAGGACCGCGCUUCGGCUAGGAUGCUGGCGUAAUGGUUGUAAGCGACCCGUCUUGAAACACGGACCAAGGAGUCUAACAUCUAUGCGAGUGUUUGGGUGUUAAACCCAUACGCGUAAUUAACGUGAACGGAGGUGAGAACCCUUUAGGGUGCAUCAUCGACCGAUCCUGAUGUCUUCGGAUGGAUUUGAGUAAGAGCAUAGCUGUUGGGACCCGAAAGAUGGUGAACUAUGCCUAGAUAGGGUGAAGCCAGAGGAAACUCUGGUGGAGCUCGCAGCGGUUCUGACGUGCAAAUCGAUCGUCAAAUUUGGGUAUAGGGGCGAAAGACUAAUCGAACCAUUAACUACUAGGUGGUUAAU
Molecule: ribosomal RNA, 887 nt
Filed under: Hymenoscyphus microserotinus
Lineage: Eukaryota; Fungi; Ascomycota; Leotiomycetes; Helotiales; Helotiaceae
Description: partial large subunit ribosomal RNA
Rfam family: Eukaryotic large subunit ribosomal RNA
Source: RNAcentral